UUAGUAGCGGCGAGUGAAGCGGCAAAAGCUCAAAUUUGAAAUCUGGCUCUUUCAGAGUCCGAGUUGUAAUUUGAAGAAGGUAUCUUUGGGUCUGGCUCUUGUCUAUGUUUCUUGGAACAGAACGUCACAGAGGGUGAGAAUCCCGUGCGAUGAGAUGAUCCAGGCCUAUGUAAAGUUCCUUCGAAGAGUCGAGUUGUUUGGGAAUGCAGCUCUAAGUGGGUGGUAAAUUCCAUCUAAAGCUAAAUAUUGGCGAGAGACCGAUAGCGAACAAGUACAGUGAUGGAAAGAUGAAAAGAACUUUGAAAAGAGAGUGAAAAAGUACGUGAAAUUGUUGAAAGGGAAGGGCUUGAGAUCAGACUUGGUAUUUUGUAUGUUACUUCUUCGGGGGUGGCCUCUACAGUUUAUCGGGCCAGCAUCAGUUUGGGCGGUAGGAGAAUUGCGUUGGAAUGUGGCACGGCUUCGGUUGUGUGUUAUAGCCUUCGUCGAUACUGCCAGCCUAGACUGAGGACUGCGGUUUAUACCUAGGAUGUUGGCAUAAUGAUCUUAAGUCGCCCGUCUUGAAACACGGACCAAGGAGUCUAACGUCUAUGCGAGUGUUUGGGUGUAAAACCCGUACGCGUAAUGAAAGUGAACGUAGGUGGGGGCCCGUAUGGGUGCACCAUCGACCGAUCCUGAUGUCUUCGGAUGGAUUUGAGUAAGAGCAUAGCUGUUGGGACCCGAAAGAUGGUGAACUAUGCCUGAAUAGGGUGAAGCCAGAGGAAACUCUGGUGGAGGCUCGUAGCGGUUCUGACGUGCAAAUCGAUCGUCGAAUUUGGGUAU
This 819-nucleotide ribosomal RNA is filed under the name Candida tropicalis. Its description in RNAcentral is "LSU rRNA". It matches the Rfam family "Eukaryotic large subunit ribosomal RNA", at positions 80 to 918 of the family's 3401-position model. Lineage: Eukaryota; Fungi; Ascomycota; Pichiomycetes; Serinales; Debaryomycetaceae. The record is from RNAcentral.